GGGAAGUCCACGCCUUGUGGCGGCUUACGGAGCUGCUGCUUUGGCGGGAGUUGGCGGCUGGUGUGAGGUUUCUGUGGGGGAAGGAGAGUGCCAGAGGUGACUGGUUCUUCUAGGCUCUCAUGGCCACCAUGUUGGAAGGCAGAUGCCAAACUCAGCCAAGGAGCAGCCCCAGUGGCCGAGAGACUAGCCUGUGGUCCUCAGGCUUUGGGAUGAAGCUGGAGGCUGUCACUCCAUUCCUGGGGAAGUAUCGCCCCUUUGUGGGUCGCUGUUGCCAGACCUGCACCCCCAAGAGCUGGGAGUCCCUCUUCCACAGAAGCAUAACGGACCUAGGCUUCUGCAAUGUGAUCCUGGUGAAGGAGGAGAACACGAGGUUUCGGGGCUGGCUGGUUCGGAGGCUCUGCUAUUUCCUGUGGUCCCUGGAGCAGCACAUCCCCCCCUGCCAGGAUGCCCCACAGAAGAUCAUGGAAAGUACCAGGGUACAGAACCUCCUCUCAGGGAGGGUCCCAGGAGGCGCUGGGGAAGGCCAGGUGCCCGACCUUGUGAAGAAGGAGGUACAGCGCAUCCUGGGUCACACCCAGGCCCCACCCUGUUCCUUCCUGGUCAGGCUGUUCAGCUGGGCGCUGCUGCGGUUCCUGAACUGCCUCUUCCUGAAUGUGCAGCUCCACAAGGGUCAGAUGAAGAUGGUCCAGAAGGCCGCCCAGGCAGGCUCGCCGCUUGUCCUCCUCUCUACUCACAAAACCCUCCUGGACGGGAUCCUGCUGCCCUUUUUGCUGCUCUCCCAGGGCCUGGGUGUGCUCCGUGUGGCCUGGGACUCCCGCGCCUGCUCCCCUGCCCUCAGAGCUCUGCUGAGGAAGCUUGGGGGACUUUUCCUGCCCCCAGAGGCCAACUUCUCCCUGGACAACUCUGAGGGGCUCCUUGCAAGGGCUGUGGUCCAGGCGGUCAUAGAGCAGCUGCUGGUUAGUGGGCAGCCCCUGCUCAUCUUCCUGGAGGAACCUCUUGGGGCUCUGGGGCCACGGCUGUCAGCCCUGGGCCAGGCUUGGGUGGGGUUUGUGGUGCAGGCAGUCCAGGUGGGCAUCGUCCCAGAUGCUCUGCUGGUACCAGUGGCCAUCACCUAUGACCUGGUUCCGGAUGCACCGUGUGACACAGACCAUGCCUUGGCCCCCCUGGGGCUGUGGACAGGAGCUCUGGCUGUCCUACGUAGUCUGUGGAGCCACUGGGGCUGCAGCUGCUGGAUCUGCUCCCGGGUGCACCUAGCUCAGCCCUUUUCCCUGCAGGAAUACAUCGUCAGUGCCAGAAGCUGCUGGGGCGGCAGGCAGACCCUGGAGCAGCUACUGCAGCCCAUCGUGCUGGGCCAAUGUACUGCUGUCCCAGACACUGAGAAGGAGCAGGAGUGGACCCCCAUAACUGGGCCUCUCCUGGCCCUCAAGGAAGAGGACCAGCUCCUGGUCAGGAGACUGAGCUGUCAUGUCCUGAGUGCCAGUGUGGGGAGCUCUGCGGUGAUGAGCACGGCCAUCAUGGCAACGCUGCUGCUAGUCAAGCACCAGAAGGGUGUGUUCCUGUCGCAGCUCCUGGGGGAGUUCUCCUGGCUGACGGAGGAGAUACUGUUGCGUGGCUUUGAUGUAGGCUUCUCUGGGCAGCUGCGGAGCCUGCUGCAGCACUCACUGAGCCUGCUGCGGGCGCACGUGGCCCUGCUGCGCAUCCGCCAGGGCGACUUGCUGGUGGUGCCGCGGCCUGGCCCAGGCCUCAUGCACCUGGCACGGCUGAGUGCUGAGCUGCUGCCCGUCUUCCUGAGCGAGGCUGUGGGCGCCUGUGCGGUGCGGGGGCUGCUGGCAGGCAGAGUGCCGCCCCAGGGGCCCUGGGAGCUGCAGGGCAUGUUGCUGCUGAGCCAGAAUGAGCUGUACUGCCAGAUCCUGCUGCUGAUGCACCUGCUGCCGCAAGACCUGCUGCUGCUAAAGCCCUGCCAGUCUUCCUACUGCUACUGUCAGGAGGUGCUGGACCGGCUCAUCCAGUGCGGGCUCCUGGUUGCUGAGGAGACCCCAGGCUCCCGGCCAGCCUGUGACACAGGGCGACAGCGAUUGAGCAGAAAGCUGCUGUGGAAACCGAGUGGGGACUUUACUGAUAGUGACAGUGAUGACUUCGAAGAGGCUGAGGGCCGGUACUUCAGGGUGUGUUUCAAAAAGCUGCCCCUGGAGGGAGGUGGGAGGGAGGCGGUGGGGAGCUGCACUCACCCCGGCCUGUCCCCUCUAGCUCAGCCAGCAGUCACACUGCCCAGACUUCUUUCUCUUCCUCUGCCGCCUGCUCAGCCCGUUGCUCAAGGCCUUUGCACAGGCUGCCGCCUUGAUACUGGUGAGACCCUUGUUCCCUUGCAGUCCUCGAGGCAGGCUCUGUCUGUGCUGGGCGCCAGGUCUAGGUCUUCUCUCUUCUGCAGUCGGGCUACACAGAGCAGCUGUUCCAGUUCCUGCAGGCCACCGCCCAGGAAGAAGGGAUCCUCGAGUAUGCGGACCCAAAGCUCGCCAUCAGUGCUAUCUGGACCUUCAGAGACCUAGGGGUUCUGCAGCAGACGCCGAGCCCUGCAGGCCCCAGGCUCCACCUGUCCCCUACUUUUGCCAGGCGGGACAAUCAGGAAAAACUAGAACAGUUCAUCCGGCAGUUCAUUUGUAGCUAGAACUGUGAGGAGGAGCCUGUGCUGAGACUUCUCAGCCCCAGAACACAGCUGUGUCCUAGAGCCAGAAGAUGGAGAGGAGCCUGCAAACCCUUAGCUGGUCUAUAAAUAUAAUCAUUGAGGCUUGA
Molecule: small RNA, 2790 nt
Filed under: Pongo abelii (Sumatran orangutan)
Lineage: Eukaryota; Metazoa; Chordata; Mammalia; Primates; Hominidae
Description: retained intron
Source: RNAcentral